This 452-nucleotide ribosomal RNA is filed under the name uncultured bacterium. RNAcentral describes it as "bacterial SSU rRNA". It matches the Rfam family "Bacterial small subunit ribosomal RNA", at positions 28 to 521 of the family's 1533-position model. The record is from RNAcentral.
GACGAACGCUGGCGGUGUGCUUCACACAUGCAAGUCGAACGAGGUAGCAAUACCUAGUGGCGGACGGGUGAGUAACGCGUGGGAAUCUGCCUUUAGAUGGGGGAUAACGGGUCGAAAGACUCGCUAAUACCGCAUAUGACGAAAGUUGAAAGGAGUAAUCCGUCUAAAGAUGAGCCCGCGUCCGAUUAGCUAGUUGGUAGAGUAAAAGCCUACCAAGGCGACGAUCCGGUAGCUGGUCUGAGAGGAGUGAUCAGCCUCAAUGGGACUAGAGACACGGCCCAUACUCCUACGGGAGGCAGCAGUGGGAAUUUUACGCAAUGGGCGAAAGCCUGACGUAGCGACACCGCGUGAGCGAAGAAGCCCCUUGGGGUGUAAAGCUCUGUCAGCUGGAACGAAAAAAUGACGGUACCAGCAGAGGAAGCAUCGGCUAACUACGUGCCAGCAGCCGCGGU